RNAcentral lists this microRNA precursor (204 nucleotides) under Oryza sativa Japonica Group (Japanese rice). Its description in RNAcentral is "MIR812 microRNA precursor family". It matches the Rfam family "MIR812 microRNA precursor family". Lineage: Eukaryota; Viridiplantae; Streptophyta; Magnoliopsida; Poales; Poaceae. The record is from Rfam by way of RNAcentral.
AAUAGAUGACGCUGUUGACUUUUUUUUACAUGUUUGACCAUUCGUCUUAUUCAAAAAAUUUAUGUAAUUAUAAUUUAUUUUGUUAUGAGUUGUUUUAUCACUCAUAGUACUUUAAGUGUGAUUUAUAUCUUAUACAUUUGCAUAAAAUUUUUGAAUAAGACGAAUAGUCAAACAUGUGAGAAAAAGUCGACGGCGUCAUCUAUU